CUGCGAAUGGCUCAUUAAAUCAGUUAUCGUAUAUUUGAUAGUACCUACUACAUGGAUAACCGUGGUAAUUCUAGAGCUAAUACAUGCUUAAAAUCCCGACUUCGGAAGGGAUGUAUUUAUUAGAUUAAAAACCAAUGCCCUUCGGGGCUCACUGGUGAUUCAUAAUAACUUCUCGAAUCGCAUGGCCUUGUGCCGGCGAUGGUUCAUUCAAAUUUCUGCCCUAUCAACUUUCGACGGCUGGGUCUUGGCCAGCCGUGGUUACAACGGGUAACGGAGGGUUAGGGCUUGACCCCGGAGAAGGAGCCUGAGAAACGGCUACUACAUCCAAGGAAGGCAGCAGGCGCGCAAAUUACCCAAUCCCGACACGGGGAGGUAGUGACAAUAAAUACUGAUACAGGGCUCUUUUGGGUCUUGUAAUUGGAAUGAGUACAAUUUAAAUCCCUUAACGAGGAACAAUUGGAGGGCAAGUCUGGUGCCAGCAGCCGCGGUAAUUCCAGCUCCAAUAGCGUAUAUUAAAGUUGUUGCAGUUAAAAAGCUCGUAGUUGAACCUUGGGCCUGGCUGGCCGGUCUGCCUCACCGCAUGCACUGGUCCGGCCGGGCCUUUCCCUCUGGGGAUCCGCAUGCCCUUCACUGGGUG
Molecule: ribosomal RNA, 637 nt
Filed under: Cytospora ceratosperma
Lineage: Eukaryota; Fungi; Ascomycota; Sordariomycetes; Diaporthales; Cytosporaceae
Description: partial 18S ribosomal RNA
Rfam family: Eukaryotic small subunit ribosomal RNA
Source: RNAcentral